AGGCGCUAUGUGGCAGCAAAAAAUCUGACUCUUAAUCAGCGGGUCCCAGGUUCGAGCCCUGGUGCGCCCACCA
RNAcentral lists this transfer RNA (73 nucleotides) under Bradyrhizobium sp. UNPF46. RNAcentral's name for it is "tRNA-Lys". Lineage: Bacteria; Pseudomonadati; Pseudomonadota; Alphaproteobacteria; Hyphomicrobiales; Nitrobacteraceae. The record is from RNAcentral.